RNAcentral lists this ribosomal RNA (497 nucleotides) under Sulfitobacter pontiacus. Its description in RNAcentral is "bacterial SSU rRNA". It matches the Rfam family "Bacterial small subunit ribosomal RNA", at positions 55 to 600 of the family's 1533-position model. Lineage: Bacteria; Pseudomonadati; Pseudomonadota; Alphaproteobacteria; Rhodobacterales; Roseobacteraceae. The record is from RNAcentral.
AUGCAAGUCGAGCGCACCUUCGGGUGAGCGGCGGACGGGUUAGUAACGCGUGGGAACAUACCCUUUUCUACGGAAUAGCCUCGGGAAACUGAGAGUAAUACCGUAUAAGCCCUUCGGGGGAAAGAUUUAUCGGGAAAGGAUUGGCCCGCGUUAGAUUAGAUAGUUGGUGGGGUAAUGGCCUACCAAGUCUACGAUCUAUAGCUGGUUUUAGAGGAUGAUCAGCAACACUGGGACUGAGACACGGCCCAGACUCCUACGGGAGGCAGCAGUGGGGAAUCUUAGACAAUGGGCGCAAGCCUGAUCUAGCCAUGCCGCGUGUGUGAUGAAGGUCUUAGGAUCGUAAAGCACUUUCGCCAGGGAUGAUAAUGACAGUACCUGGUAAAGAAACCCCGGCUAACUCCGUGCCAGCAGCCGCGGUAAUACGGAGGGGGUUAGCGUUGUUCGGAAUUACUGGGCGUAAAGCGGACAUAGGCGGCCUGGAAAGUCGGGGGGUGAAA